RNAcentral lists this unclassified non-coding RNA (359 nucleotides) under uncultured Agaricomycetes. Its description in RNAcentral is "sequence contains ITS1". The stretch from base 1 to 105 matches the Rfam family "5.8S ribosomal RNA", at positions 50 to 154 of the family's 154-position model. The record is from RNAcentral. Lineage: Eukaryota; Fungi; Basidiomycota; Agaricomycetes.
GAAAUGCGAUAAGUAAUGUGAAUUGCAGAAUUCAGUGAAUCAUCGAAUCUUUGAACGCACCUUGCGCUCCUUGGUAUUCCGAGGAGCAUGCCUGUUCGAGUGUCGUGAAGCUCUCAACUCACUUCUUUUGUUAAAAAGGAAGUGCAGCUUGGACUUGGAGUCUGUCGGCGUGAGUCGACUUCUCUGAAAUGCAUUAGCCCUACUGCAGAUAAACGAUGGGUAACAGUGUAGUAAUCUUUUGAUCGUCGCUGUGUCCGUUCCCCUUCCGCGGUUGGCUCACAAAGUAAAAGCAGAAGUCAAUCUUCUCUUUUUUUCAAUCUUUUGACCUCGAAUCAGGUAGGACUACCCGCUGAACUUAA